AUGGAGGUGCACGAGGCUCUGCGUUCUGAGGACACCGGGCGUCUCACGGGUCACAGCCGUGGGAGCUCAGAUCAGAGUCACUUGGGGGGGUUCAAGGUCACAGCUUCAGAUCUUGCACUGGCAGCACACGGGGACACAGCAGCUGGACUGGGAGCCCCACACGAGCCGCAGCCCCCCUUAGACUCCCCACAGGAGCCGCAGCCCCCCUUAGACCCCCCACAGGAGCUGCAGCCCCCCUUGGAGCCCCCACAGGAGCCGCAGCCCCCCUUAGACCCCCUACAGGAGCCGCAGCUCACCUUGGACCCCCUACAGGAGCCGCAGCCCCCCUUGGAGCCCCCACAGGAGCCGCAGCCCCCCUUGGACCCCCCGCAGGAGCCGCAGCCCCCCUUGGACCCCCUACAGGAGCCGCAGCUCACCUUGGACCCCCUACAGGAGCCGCAGCCCCCCUUAGACUCCCCACAGGAGCCGCAGCCCCCCUUAGACCCCCCACAGGAGCUGCAGCCCCCCUUAGACCCCCCACAGGAGCCGCAGCUCACCUUGGACCCCCACAGGAGCCGCAGCCCCCCUUGGACCCCCCGCAGGAGCCGCAGCCCCCCUUGGAGCCCCCACAGGAGCUGCAGCCCACCUUGGACCCCCCGCAGGAGCUGCAGCCCCCCUUUGACCCCUCGCAGGAGCCGCAGCCCCCCUUGGAGCCCCCACAGGAGCCACAGCCCCCCUUGGAGCCCCCGCAGGAGCCGCAGCCCCCUUUGCCGCAGCUGGAGCAGGAGCGGGCUGGCACACAGCAGCAGACGGGCACACAGCAGCUGGAGCCGCAGCCCCCGGAGCAGCCAGAGCAGCCCAUGGUUCUGGUGGGUUGAGGGUGGAGUAGGUCAGAGGAGCAGGUGGAGAGAGAGAAGCGGCUCAGUGUGGGGCCUCCGGGGCCGGGAGCCUCUAUAUACCUGCCGGGGCAGGUGUGACUUGGGCACAUGCUCACUUCCUGGUUCCCAUCUGUGCUGUGUCUUGUUUGUGGGCCUGGAAUCCAUGGGCUUCUGUUGACUUUUCCCAGCAGACACCCUCCUAGGUUUCUAAGUCUGGCUUCUUCCCUGUCUUGUUUGUUUCCUGUAAAAAGGAACAGUCCAGCUUUGUGCUAUUUCCAGUUUUCUGUUGACUACAUAUAACUGGG
RNAcentral lists this long non-coding RNA (1162 nucleotides) under Capra hircus (goat). RNAcentral's name for it is "lncRNA (ENSCHIG00000002454.1)". Lineage: Eukaryota; Metazoa; Chordata; Mammalia; Artiodactyla; Bovidae. The record is from RNAcentral.